RNAcentral lists this ribosomal RNA (465 nucleotides) under Vreelandella stevensii. RNAcentral describes it as "partial 16S ribosomal RNA". It matches the Rfam family "Bacterial small subunit ribosomal RNA", at positions 338 to 795 of the family's 1533-position model. Lineage: Bacteria; Pseudomonadati; Pseudomonadota; Gammaproteobacteria; Oceanospirillales; Halomonadaceae. The record is from RNAcentral.
CCUACGGGUGGCAGCAGUGGGGAAUAUUGGACAAUGGGGGGAACCCUGAUCCAGCCAUGCCGCGUGUGUGAAGAAGGCCCUCGGGUUGUAAAGCACUUUCAGUGAGGAAGAACGCCUGGUGGUUAAUACCCAUCAGGAAAGACAUCACUCACAGAAGAAGAACCGGCUAACUCCGUGCCAGCAGCCGCGGUAAUACGGAGGGUGCGAGCGUUAAUCGGAAUUACUGGGCGUAAAGCGCGCGUAGGUGGCUUGAUAAGCCGGUUGUGAAAGCCCCGGGCUCAACCUGGGAACGGCAUCCGGAACUGUCAAGCUAGAGUGCAGGAGAGGAAGGUAGAAUUCCCGGUGUAGCGGUGAAAUGCGUAGAGAUCGGGAGGAAUACCAGUGGCGAAGGCGGCCUUCUGGACUGACACUGACACUGAGGUGCGAAAGCGUGGGUAGCAAACAGGAUUAGAUACCCUUGUAGUC